This 1507-nucleotide long non-coding RNA is filed under the name Salmo salar (Atlantic salmon). RNAcentral describes it as "lncRNA (ENSSSAG00000092310.1)". The record is from RNAcentral. Lineage: Eukaryota; Metazoa; Chordata; Actinopteri; Salmoniformes; Salmonidae.
GCCAGGUUAUAUACUAUGAUCAAAACUUCUACACCCUCGUAGAUGGCCAGGUUAUAUACUAUGAUCAAAACUUCUACACCCUCGUAGAUGGCCAGGUUAUAUACUAUGAUCAAAACUUCUACACCCUCGUAGAUGGCCAGGUUAAAUACUAUGAUCAAAACCUAGAUUAUGUGUAAAUACUCUCAAAUACACAAUGAUACAGUAAGUAGUUAAUAUGUGUUUUAGAAAUUUUCUGAAGAUAUCAGUAGCCUUGAGAAUAAUAUUUGACUGUUCCCUUACCAUGGGGAUCAUGCGGCAGGACUUGACACAGCCGUUCAUUCCCUUACCAUGGGGAUAAUGCGGCAGGACUUGACACAGCCGUUCAUUCCCUUACCAUGGGGAUAAUGCGGCAGGACUUGACACAGUCGUUCAUUCCCUUACCAUGGGGAUCAUGCGGCAGGACUUGACACAGUCAUUCAUUCUCAUCAUACGCAUGUAGUUGGAGUACUCUCCCUUCCUCAGGAAGUGCUGGGGUCCCAUGAAGUUGGGGCGCUCGUAGAUCAUGAACAUACCGCUCUCCACCCUGAUGGACUAGCAGCGGUUGAACAUGGAGUGAAGAUCGGCACAGAUACUAAUGCACUCAUGGUGACUGCCGCCGAAGUCCUUGUCCUUGUAAAAGAUGUUCUGAUGGAAGAACAGGAAUGAUUUUGAAGUAGCAUUAAUAAGAAAAUCUAUGGAAAAACAAAGUAAAGAUGUGAUACAGGCGGCCUACAGAUAUACUGUUUGAGGAAAUUACUCUAAAUAAGAAAGUAUACACCGAGAGUACAAAAGAAAAACAUUUGUUUUAAAGUUCAUUUCCUGCAAUUCUACACAUUUUGCUAUAGGGUGGAGGCAAAUGUUUGCAGUUUUUAAUAUGCUGACAUGGGCUAAUUGAGUGAUUGCUAAUACACAACCAAAUUGCACCUGGUGUAUUCUGUUAUUCAAACUCUCAACAGUAAGUUGAGACCCCGACUGGGUUCUUAAAAAAUAUACAGUAAAUAUAUUUUUGGGUGAAAUUGGUCCGUGGGCAUUUUGUGGCUUGUUUGUUUUGGUACCUAUCAACACCCCUCAUUAUCACCAUCUAUGCACGCAACCACUCACUUAAACUACUGAUUACUGACUACACACACCAUUGUUAAUUGUAAAUAGUUUACUUUAGUUCAUAAAUAUAUUUUUGUUAUUCCUUGAUCUCAUCGUUGUCUCCCUUUUUGUUGUGGGCUAACAUGCCCACCUAUCCCAGACAUCAAUCAGAUGAUACACCCAUUCACUCUGUAGCUAAAAGAUUCAAUAAUACUCAAAUCUUUGACAUGAUUAGAUCGAUGUGUGAAGUAUUACUCAUGGGGUAGCAGUCUGGCAGGUUACCCAGGUAACACAGCCACACCUCAGAGACAGGUCUGGCAGGUUACCCAGGUAACACAGCCACACCUCAGAGACAGGUCUGGCAGGUUACCCAGGUAACACAGCCACACCUCAGAGACAGGUCUGGCAG